Molecule: long non-coding RNA, 404 nt
Filed under: Helianthus annuus (common sunflower)
Lineage: Eukaryota; Viridiplantae; Streptophyta; Magnoliopsida; Asterales; Asteraceae
Description: sRNA HanXRQr2_Chr16g0743191
Source: RNAcentral
UGGUGGUGGUUCCUUUUUGUUGUUUGGGUCAGCGGGAGAGGGCUGUACUCUCCCCCAUUUACGUCUUAGAUAUUUUAAAUUGAUUUGCUUGUUCCAUCCAAAAUGACUUUUUUGUGCAUUUCAGUCCUUCACCAUUGGUUUUUCUGCCAUUUUCAUCCUUGAGGUUGGCAAUUCAUUGCGACUUUCGUCCCUCGGGGAUGAAAAAGGCACCUCAAGGACGAAAGUCGCAAAAGUAGCCAAACCUCAUAAACGAAAAUGACAUUUUACUCUAUAAAAAAACAGAAAAAAUGGAUUACCCGAUAUCAAUAGUAGUCUCUUCCAAACGAGCUUACUUGGUCGCAUAUUUCACAAGUGAUGUCACCCUUUUCGUUGCACCAAACACUUCCUGUGAGCAUACUGCAUAA